UCAGGAUGAACGCUGGCGGUAUGCUUAACACAUGCAAGUCGUACGGGUUAGAUUUAUCUAAUCUAGUGGCGGACGGGUGCGUAACACGUAAGAACCUACCUUUGGAGGGGGAUAACAUUGGGAAACUGAUGCUAAUACCCCAUAUUAGCUGAGGAGUGAAAAGCGGGUAUCCCGUGAGGGAGCCACGCGCCAGAAGAGGGGCUUGCGGCUGAUUAGCUAGUUGGUGGGGGUAAAAGCCUCCCAAGGCCACGAUCAGUAGCUGGUCUGAGAGGAUGAUCAGCCACACUGGGACUGAGACACGGCCCAGACUCCUACGGGAGGCAGCAGUGAGGAAUUUUCCACAAUGGGCGAAAGCCUGAUGGGAAGCAAUACCGCGUGGAGGAAGAAGGACCGUGGUUCGUAAUCUCCUUUUCUCAGAGAAGAAAAUUUGACGGUAUCUGAGGAAUAAGCUCCGGCUAACUAUGUGCCAGCCGCAGC
RNAcentral lists this ribosomal RNA (477 nucleotides) under uncultured bacterium. RNAcentral describes it as "bacterial SSU rRNA". It matches the Rfam family "Bacterial small subunit ribosomal RNA", at positions 24 to 518 of the family's 1533-position model. The record is from RNAcentral.